Molecule: non-coding RNA, 626 nt
Organism: Arachis ipaensis
Lineage: Eukaryota; Viridiplantae; Streptophyta; Magnoliopsida; Fabales; Fabaceae
Source: RefSeq, a predicted model, not a curated record
CAUCGCCGAACUCUUCUUAGCUCUCAUCGUUCCUCUUCUCUCUCUCUCUCUCUCUCUCUCUCUCUCUCUCUCUCUGUGCGCGAAACAAUGGAGAAGGUGAGGAAUCGCCGAAGGUACAUUCGCCAAGAACACUGACACCGGAGAUAGCAUUGCCAUUAAGGUCAUGGCUAAAUCUACCAUUAUCAAGCAUUGAAUGGUUGAACAGGUUGAAUUUAUAUCAGCCACAAAUACAAGGAAGAUGUGAAACUCAUGGUGGAAACAGGCCUUGAUGCCUAUAGGUUAUCCAUUUCUUGGUCAAGAUUGAUUCCAAAUGGUAGAGGACCCAUCAAUCCCAAGGGAUUGCAAUUCUAUAACAAUCUCAUCAAUGAACUCAUUAGCAGUGGUCAGCCCUUCACAAAUUGAGGUACAUGCAGGUUGGGCUUCUCGAAGGAAACCUUAUGCAUACAUCUACACUUCAGAUGGGAUGUCUCUCUAUGAGUUAGCAAUGUUUAUACUAAAAGAACGGAAAUACACUGCAAAGUAUAAUGAUGAUCUAUGCGUUGUCUGUUGGGAUGGGGGAAACCUGCUGCUCUGUGAUGGAUGCCCAAGGUCGUUUCACAAAGGUGAGAUGCAAAAUUUAUGAAAAA